This 691-nucleotide long non-coding RNA is filed under the name Phoenix dactylifera (date palm). Its description in RNAcentral is "long non-coding RNA (PDAC_LNC019265)". The record is from RNAcentral. Lineage: Eukaryota; Viridiplantae; Streptophyta; Magnoliopsida; Arecales; Arecaceae.
CUCUUGGGAAUUCACUAUAACCCCCUUGGAUUACAGCUGGUUGUUUUGCAAGCUCACAACCAAACUUGUUGUUUUACGAGCUAACAACGAACUCGGUCGGUUUUCCCAGGCUCACCGACUAGAACCAACCCCGAUUGUUUUCCCGGGCUCACAAUCAAACCCUUGAACACGUCGGUUUUAAAGCGGCUCACCAACCAACCUUUGUCCCCUUGAUUCAAUCCCCCGAUUGAACCAAGUAAAUACAAGUAGUAGAAGGAAAACAGACAAUAAGCUUCUCAAAAAGCAGAUAAAAAACAAUAUAAUCAAAGAUGAGUUUAGAAGCCCUCAAACGCUCUUAAGCUUAAGUAGAGGAAUGGCUUCUUGACUCUGGUCUCCUCUUGGAUGAGUGAUCGACUUGAAUGUAGGAGGAGGAAGCUUUGAAUGCUGGGAAGAAGUUGGUGGCGCAGUAAAUGCUGAUCUCCCCUUUUUCUCGUUUAAGAGCACUUGCAAAGCUUGAAGACUUGAAUGCUUGGAGUGGAAUAUGUGUUCUCUCCCUUGCUACAGUCUUCUGUGGCUUUUUAAGCCAACCCCCACGGAAACUAGCCGUUACUCCACUUUUUCUGGCCGUUCUGCACACUCUGAGCAGCCUGACAAUGUGACCGUUGGUGGGUUGGAGUCGACUCGCGCGAUCAGGAGUCGACUCGGCUGUAGC